RNAcentral lists this ribosomal RNA (1536 nucleotides) under Triticum aestivum (bread wheat). RNAcentral's name for it is "partial small subunit ribosomal RNA". The record is from RNAcentral. Lineage: Eukaryota; Viridiplantae; Streptophyta; Magnoliopsida; Poales; Poaceae.
AUGCCUCGGCCGCUGCUGGCAGUGGCCGCCAUGGUGCUCGUGCUGGCCGCCGCUGGCGCCCAUGGCUUCGAGAUCGAGGAGGCGACCUUGGCCAGCAUCCAGCUCGGCUUCAACAACGGCAGCCUCACCUCCGUGGAGCUCGUCCGCUUCUACCUGGACCGCAUCCGCGGCCUCAACCCGCUCCUCCGCGCCGUCAUCGAGGUCAACCCGGACGCGCUCCGGCAGGCCGCGCGCGCCGACGCAGAGCGCCGCUCCUCUUCCUCCGGCAAGUGCGUGACCGCCGGCGGGCCGCUGCACGGCGUGCCCGUCCUGCUCAAGGACAACAUCGCCACCCGCGACGCGCUCAACACGACCGCCGGGUCCUUCGCUCUCCUCGGCUCCGUGGCCAGGCGGGACGCCGGCGUGGUGCGUCGGCUGCGGCGCGCGGGCGCCGUGGUGCUCGGCAAGGCCAACAUGGACGAGUGGGCCAACUUCCGCAGCCUCGCCGGCACCGACGGCUGGAGCGCGCGCGGCGGCCAGGCCCGGAACCCGUACGUGCUGUCGGCGAGCCCGUGUGGGUCGAGCACGGGGUCGGCGAUCGCGGCGGCGGCGAGCAUGGCGGCGGUGACGCUGGGGACGGAGACGGACGGCUCGAUACUCUGCCCGGCGUCGCUGAACUCGGUGGUGGGGAUCAAGCCCACUCUGGGGUUGACCAGCCGGGCCGGGGUCGUCCCCAUCACACCACGCCAAGAUACCGUCGGGCCGAUUUGCCGCACAGUGACGGAUGUGGUGCACGUGCUGGACGCCAUCGUCGGCUAUGAUGCCCUCGAUGCAGCAGCCACGAGCACAGCUUCCAAGUACAUCCCCGAUGGCGGAUACACGCAGUUCUUGAAGAAAGACGGACUAAACGGGAAGAGGAUCGGCAUCCCCAAUGGGUUCUUCAACUACGCAAAUGGGACCGUGCAGCACACUGUUUACCAGCAACAUAUAGACACAAUGAGGAAACAAGGAGCAAUAGUGGUCGAGGACCUUGACAUAGCGAAUCUAAGUGUCAUAUUGGAUUCCCUUAACAACGGCCAAGAGAUUGCAUUAGCAGCAGAGUUCAAGUUAAGCCUCAACGCAUAUCUGUCGGGCUUAUCCUACUCUCCGGUUCGAACGCUUGCAGAGAUCAUAGCUUUCAACGAUGCACAUCCCGUUGAGGAAAAGAUGAAGGAAAUUGGGCAGAUCAUCUUCCUGGUGGCCGAGAACACGACCGGCAUUGGUGCCGUUGAGAGAGCGGCGGUCAGUCAGCUGAACAAGCUGUCCGCCGACGGGCUAGAGAAGCUGAUGAGGGAGCAUAAGCUGGACGCGAUCGUGACGCCCAACAGCGCCGCGUCCCCUGUGCUUGCCAUAGGUGGCAUGCCCGGCAUCACCGUGCCCGCCGGGUACGGCGCGAUGGGGGUGCCGUUUGGUCUCAGCUUUGGCGGGCUGAAGGGGUACGAGCCAAGGCUGAUCGAGAUGUCGUAUGCGUUUGAGCAGGUUACCACGGUCAGGAAAACCCCCACGUUCUUGCCAUAG